Molecule: ribosomal RNA, 573 nt
Filed under: fungal sp. 57486
Lineage: Eukaryota; Fungi
Description: eukaryotic LSU rRNA
Rfam family: 5.8S ribosomal RNA (bases 200-353)
Source: RNAcentral
GGUCUCCGUUGGUGAACCAGCGGAGGGAUCAUUACCGAGUUUAAACUCCCAACCCUUCUGUGAACAUACCUAUCGUUGCUUCGGCGGAACGCCCCGGCGCCCUGAGCCCGGAACCAGGCGCCCGCCGGAGACCACAAACUCUUCUGUAUUUUCAGCACCAGUAUUUUCCUCUGAGUGGCAAACGCAAAAAAUCAAUUAAAACUUUUAACAACGGAUCUCUUGGCUCUGGCAUCGAUGAAGAACGCAGCGAAAUGCGAUAAGUAAUGUGAAUUGCAGAAUUCAGUGAAUCAUCGAAUCUUUGAACGCACAUUGCGCCCGUUAGCAUUCUAGCGGGCAUGCCUGUCCGAGCGUCAUUUCAACCCUCAGGGCUCCCUUUAGGGGGAGACCUGGCGUUGGGGGAUCGGCCCGCCCAGCGCGGCGCCGUCCCCCAAAUUCAGUGGCGGUCUCGCUGCAGCCUCCCCUGCGUAGUAGUUUACACCUCGCACCGGAGCGCGGCUAGGCCACGCCGUAAAACCCCCGACUUUCUGAACGUUGACCUCGGAUCAGGUAGGAAUACCCGCUGAACUUAAGCAU